GAUGAACGCUGGCGGUGUGCCUAAUACAUGCAAGUCGAGCGAACAGACGAGGAGCUUACUCCUCUGACGUUAGCGGCGGACGGGUGAGUAACACGUGGAUAACCUACCUAUAAGACUGGGAUAACUUCGGGAAACCGGAGCUAAUACCGGAUAACAUUUUGAACCGCAUGGUUCAACAGUGAAAGACGGUCUUGCUGUCACUUAUAGAUGGAUCCGCGUCGCAUUAGCUAGUUGGUAAGGUAACGGCUUACCAAGGCAACGAUGCGUAGCCGACCUGAGAGGGUGAUCGGCCACACUGGAACUGAGACACGGUCCAGACUCCUACGGGAGGCAGCAGUAGGGAAUAUUCCGCAAUGGGCGAAAGCCUGACGGAGCAACGCCGCGUGAGUGAAGAAGGUCUUCGGAUCGUAAAACUCUGUUAUUAGGGAAGAACAAAUGUGUAAGUAACUAUGCACGUCUUGACGGUACCUAAUCAGAAAGCCACGGCUAACUCCGUG
This 497-nucleotide ribosomal RNA is filed under the name uncultured bacterium. RNAcentral's name for it is "partial 16S ribosomal RNA". It matches the Rfam family "Bacterial small subunit ribosomal RNA", at positions 28 to 507 of the family's 1533-position model. The record is from RNAcentral.